This 403-nucleotide ribosomal RNA is filed under the name uncultured bacterium. RNAcentral describes it as "partial 16S ribosomal RNA". It matches the Rfam family "Bacterial small subunit ribosomal RNA", at positions 28 to 526 of the family's 1533-position model. The record is from RNAcentral.
GACGAACGCUGGCGGCGUGCCUAAUACAUGCAAGUCGAACGCAGGGGGGACGGGUGAGUAACACGUGGGUAACCUCCCAUCAGAGGGGAUAACACUUGGCAAAAGGUGCUAAACCGAUACUGAUGGAUGGACCCGCGGUGCAUUAGCUAGUUGGUGGGGUAACGGCUCACCAAGGCCACGAUACAUAGCCGGCCUGAGAGGUGGAUCGGCCACACUGGGACUGAGACACGGCCCAGACUCCUACGGGAGGCAGCAGUAGGGAAUCUUUGGCAAUGGACGAAAGGCUGACCGAGCAACGCCGCGUGAUUGAAGAAGGUUUUCGGAUCGUAAAAUUCUUUUGUUAGAGAAGCGGUAUCUAACCAGAAAGCCACGGCUAACUACGUGCCAGCAGCCGCGGUAAUAC